CUUUCACUUGCUGCUGGAAAUAAGGCAAGAGCACAUCUCCUGAUCAAUUAGAAGACACAACUGGCAGGAAAUUGCAACUUUAAAUGUUAUCAACCUAUUCUAUUCUUUUCUACUGCAAAACCAUCCUCAACAAAACAAAACUCAAAGAAUAAGAAGAAUCGAGUUGUCCUUUGUGUCCUUCUACAAGUUCUUCAAGUUUGGGCAGAGUUGUUGUCACAAAAUGCACAGAACUUGACAGUGCCUGUCCACAAAGGAGUCUGAAGGUUUCAUGGGAUUUUGUGAUUUAUCUGAGAUUCUUUCGAAUUUCCACACACACCAUGAAGAAAUUGCUUUGCUCUUUCCUGGAUGUUUGAUGACUUCUGAUUGGACUAUGACUUGUUGGUUUUAUUUGUCUGAGUUGCUUUCUCAUCUCCUUGAAAGCCUUUUAUUCUUUUGACAGUAUUUGCAUUAAAGUUACCAAACUGCAUCA
Scatophagus argus is the source of this 469-nucleotide long non-coding RNA. RefSeq lists it as uncharacterized. Lineage: Eukaryota; Metazoa; Chordata; Actinopteri; Scatophagidae. The record is from RefSeq and is a predicted model, not a curated record. The transcript is spliced from 2 exons.